This 195-nucleotide unclassified non-coding RNA is filed under the name uncultured Veronaea. RNAcentral describes it as "sequence contains ITS1". Lineage: Eukaryota; Fungi; Ascomycota; Eurotiomycetes; Chaetothyriales; Herpotrichiellaceae. The record is from RNAcentral.
ACGAGUUAGGGUCUCCUAGGCCCGAUCUCCCAACCCUUUGUUUACCAAACCAUUUUGUUGCUUCGGCGAGCCCGUCUUCACGGACCGCCGGGGGACCUGCUCAAGGACCCCUGGCCCGCGCUCGUCGGUGGCCCAAACCUUUAAAUUCUUAACUAAACGUGUCAUGUCUAAGUACCAAUUUUUUAAUUAAAAGCA